RNAcentral lists this ribosomal RNA (420 nucleotides) under uncultured bacterium. RNAcentral describes it as "bacterial SSU rRNA". It matches the Rfam family "Bacterial small subunit ribosomal RNA", at positions 356 to 773 of the family's 1533-position model. The record is from RNAcentral.
AGGGAAUAUUGGGCAAUGGGCGAGAGCCUGACCCAGCCAUGCCGCGUGCAGGAAGAAGGCUUUCUGAGUCGUAAACUGCUUUUGACAGGGAAGAAUAAGGUGUACGUGUACACUGAUGACGGUACCUGCAGAAUAAGCACCGGCUAACUCCGUGCCAGCAGCCGCGGUAAUACGGAGGGUGCGAGCGUUGUCCGGAUUUAUUGGGUUUAAAGGGUGCGUAGGCGGCUUUUUAAGUCUGGGGUGAAAGCCCGCUGCUCAACAGCGGAACUGCCCUGGAUACUGGAGAGCUUGAGUACAGACGAGGUUGGCGGAAUGGACGGAGUAGCGGUGAAAUGCAUAGAUACCGUCCAGAACCCCGAUUGCGAAGGCAGCUGACUAGGCUGUUACUGACGCUGAGGCACGAAAGCGUGGGGAGCGAAC